Molecule: ribosomal RNA, 253 nt
Filed under: uncultured bacterium
Lineage: Bacteria
Description: partial 16S ribosomal RNA
Rfam family: Bacterial small subunit ribosomal RNA
Source: RNAcentral
UACGUAGGGUGCAAGCGUUGUCCGGAAUUAUUGGGCGUAAAGAGCUCGUAGGCGGUCUGUUACGUCGGCUGUGAAAACCUGGGGCUCAACUCCGGGCCGGCAACCGAUACGGGCAGACUAGAGUUCGGCAGGGGAGACUGGAAUUCCUGGUGUAGCGGUGAAAUGCGCAGAUAUCAGGAGGAACACCGGUGGCGAAGGCGGGUCUCUGGGCCGAAACUGACGCUGAGGAGCGAAAGCGUGGGGAGCAAACAGG